Molecule: ribosomal RNA, 574 nt
Filed under: Aspergillus tamarii
Lineage: Eukaryota; Fungi; Ascomycota; Eurotiomycetes; Eurotiales; Aspergillaceae
Description: eukaryotic LSU rRNA
Rfam family: 5.8S ribosomal RNA (bases 202-355)
Source: RNAcentral
CCUGCGGAAGGAUCAUUACCGAGUGUAGGGUUCCUAGCGAGCCCAACCUCCCACCCGUGUUUACUGUAACCUUAGUUGCUUCGGCGGGCCCGCCUUUAAGGCCGCCGGGGGGCAUCAGCCCCCGGGCCCGCGCCCGCCGGAGACACCACGAACUCUGUCUGAUCUAGUGAAGUCUGAGUUGAUUGUAUCGCAAUCAGUUAAAACUUUCAACAAUGGAUCUCUUGGUUCCGGCAUCGAUGAAGAACGCAGCGAAAUGCGAUAACUAGUGUGAAUUGCAGAAUUCCGUGAAUCAUCGAGUCUUUGAACGCACAUUGCGCCCCCUGGUAUUCCGGGGGGCAUGCCUGUCCGAGCGUCAUUGCUGCCCAUCAAGCACGGCUUGUGUGUUGGGUCGUCGUCCCCUCUUCGGGGGGGACGGGCCCCAAAGGCAGCGGCGGCACCGCGUCCGAUCCUCGAGCGUAUGGGGCUUUGUCACCCGCUCUGUAGGCCCGGCCGGCGCUUGCCGAACGCAAAACAACCAUUCUUUCCAGGUUGACCUCGGAUCAGGUAGGGAUACCCGCUGAACUUAAGCAUAUCA